UACGAGUGCCCCAAGCGUUAUCCGGAAUUAUUGGGCGUAAAGGGUCAGUAGGCGGUUUUGCUAGUCUUCUGUCAAAUUCUUCGGCUUAACCGGGGGUCCGCAGGGGAAACGGCAAAACUCGAGGAUGCGAGAGGUGAAUGGAACUCAUAGUGUAGGGGUGAAAUCCGUUGAUAUUAUGGGGAACACCAAAAGCGAAGGCAAUUCACUGGCGCACUCCUGACGCUGAAUGACGAAAGCGUGGGUAGCGAAUGGG
Molecule: ribosomal RNA, 253 nt
Filed under: uncultured bacterium
Lineage: Bacteria
Description: partial 16S ribosomal RNA
Rfam family: Bacterial small subunit ribosomal RNA
Source: RNAcentral